UACGGGGGGGGCAAGCGUUGUUCGGAAUUACUGGGCGUAAAGGGCUCGUAGGCGGCCAACUAAGUCGGACGUGAAAUCCCUCGGCUUAACCGGGGAACUGCGUCCGAUACUGGAUGGCUUGAGGUUGGGAGAGGGAUGCGGAAUUCCAGGUGUAGCGGUGAAAUGCGUAGAUAUCUGGAGGAACACCGGUGGCGAAGGCGGCAUCCUGGACCAAUUCUGACGCUGAGGAGCGAAAGCCAGGGGAGCAAACGGG
This 253-nucleotide ribosomal RNA is filed under the name uncultured bacterium. RNAcentral's name for it is "partial 16S ribosomal RNA". It matches the Rfam family "Bacterial small subunit ribosomal RNA", at positions 524 to 776 of the family's 1533-position model. The record is from RNAcentral.